UCCUCUGUCUCCAUCUCAGAUCAGUCCUCCCUCCCUCCUCUGGCUCCGUCUCAUAUCAGUCCUCCCUCCAUCCUCUGGCUCCGUCUCAGAUCAGUCCUCCCUCCCUCCUCUGGCUCCGUCUCAUAUCAGUCCUCCCUCCUCUGACUCCGUCUCAGAUCAGUCCUCCCUCCCUCCUCUGGCUCCGUCUCAGAUCAGUCCUCCCUCCCUCCUCUGGCUCCGUCUCAGAUCAGUCCUCCCUCCUCUGACUCCGUCUCAGAUCAGUCCUCCCUCCUCUGGCUCCGUCUCAUAUCAUUCCUCCCUCCUCUGGCUCCGUCUCAUAUCAGUCCUCCCUCCUCUGACUCCGUCUCAGGUCAGUCCACCAUCCCUCCUCUGGCUCGGUCUCAUAUCAGUCCUCCCUCCUCCGGCUCCGUCUCAGAUCAGUCCUCCCUCCUCUGGCUCCGUCUCAUAUCAGUCCUCACUCCUCUGGCUCCGUCUCAGAUCAGUCCUCCCUUCUCUGGCUCCAUCUCAGAUCAGUCCUCCCUCCCUCCUCUGGCUCCGUCUCAUAUCAGUCCUCCCUCCAUCCUCUGGCUCCGUCUCAGAUCAGUCCUCCUUCCCUCCUCUGGCUCCGUCUCAUAUCAGUCCUCCCUCCUCUGGCUCUGUCUCAUAUCAGUCCUCCCUCCUCUGGCUCCGUCUCAUAUCAGUCCUCCCUCCUCUGACUCCGUCUCAGGUCAGUCCACCCUCCCUCCUCUGGCUCGGUCUCAUAUCAGUCCUCCCUCCUUUGGCUCGGUCUCAUAUCAGUCCUCCCUCCCUCCUCUGGCUCUGUCUCAGAUCAGUCCUCCAUCCUCUGGCUCCGUCUCAAAUCAGUCCUCCCUCCUCUGGCUCCGUCUCAGAUCAGUCCUCCCUCCUCUGGCUCCGUCUCAUAUCAGUCCCCC
Long non-coding RNA from Oncorhynchus tshawytscha (Chinook salmon), 911 nucleotides. The record is from Ensembl. Lineage: Eukaryota; Metazoa; Chordata; Actinopteri; Salmoniformes; Salmonidae.